Molecule: long non-coding RNA, 512 nt
Filed under: Paramuricea clavata
Lineage: Eukaryota; Metazoa; Cnidaria; Anthozoa; Malacalcyonacea; Plexauridae
Source: RNAcentral
AUCGUGAUUUGCCCUGGAUACUUCUCAGGGAGGCGAGAAUUCAGGACAGCUAUAGCUUCGCCAUGCACUGAAACUUACUGAACUUCAGACAUCAUUUUGCCUUUCAAUUGGCGCACCAUUUAAAAUCUCUUUCAUUUAAGCACUAUUUUACAUACUAUUUUACAUAAAAAGCUACGUUCACACUACACCGUUANNNNNNNNNNNNNNNNNNNNACUUAUCGAAAGACAAUUAAUUAGUUCGUAAUAAACAUUUAUAUUAUUCAUAAAAUUACUUAGUUACCCAGUUCGUAUUGUGACAUGUAAACUCUCAGAGUACACAUGGGGGAGUGUGUAGCGAACUGGGCUCAUUACGGAGCUUUACGAAGCCAAGACGAACAUUGACAUAUUUUGUGAUGGGUCACGUGAUUAACAAGCAUGCGAGACUAACCAGCGAGAGAGAAACAGUGAGAAAUCAGUGAGAGAGAUUUGUAUUUUAUUAUUAUUAUAAAGUUAUUAUUAUUUUGUUAUCGUGA